RNAcentral lists this ribosomal RNA (252 nucleotides) under uncultured bacterium. RNAcentral describes it as "partial 16S ribosomal RNA". It matches the Rfam family "Bacterial small subunit ribosomal RNA", at positions 525 to 776 of the family's 1533-position model. The record is from RNAcentral.
ACGGGGGGUGCAAGCGUUAAUCGGAUUUACUGGGCGUAAAGAGUUCGUAGGCGGCUGUUUAAGUUGGAUGUGAAAGCCCUGGGCUUAACCUGGGAACUGCAUACAAAACUGGGCAGCUAGAGUAAGGGAGAGGAGAGUGGAAUUUCCGGUGUAGCGGUGAAAUGCAUAGAUAUCGGAAGGAACACCAGUGGCGAAGGCGACUCUCUGGCCUAUUACUGACGCUGAGGAACGAAAGCGUGGGGAGCAAACAGG